RNAcentral lists this ribosomal RNA (396 nucleotides) under uncultured bacterium. RNAcentral describes it as "bacterial SSU rRNA". It matches the Rfam family "Bacterial small subunit ribosomal RNA", at positions 30 to 423 of the family's 1533-position model. The record is from RNAcentral.
AUUGAACGCUGGCGGCAUGCUUUACACAUGCAAGUCGAACGGCAGCACGGGUGCUUGCACCUGGUGGCGAGUGGCGGACGGGUGAGUAAUACAUCGGAACGUAUCCUAAAGUGGGGGAUAACGCAUCGAAAGAUGUGCUAAUACCGCAUACACUCUGAGGAGGAAAGUAGGGGAUCGAAAGACCUUAUGCUUUUGGAGCGGCCGAUGUCUGAUUAGCUAGUUGGUAAGGUAAUGGCUUACCAAGGCAACGAUCAGUAGUUGGUCUGAGAGGACGACCAGCCACACUGGGACUGAGACACGGCCCAGACUCCUACGGGAGGCAGCAGUGGGGGAAUUUUGGACAAUGGGCGCAAGCCUGAUCCAGCCAUGCCGCGUGAGUGAAGAAGGCCUUCGGUU